AUUCUCCUCUUCUUUUCGUUGUUUCUUAUUCUUUUUUCCUCUCCAAGCAUAUCGCCCCAUCUUAUCCCAAACCAGGUAGAACACGAGCUCAAUACUGAUCUUCUGCGAGGUCGAAUUGGAGAUGGAUUUGAAGACAGAGGCCAAUUCGGAGAUGGAACUAUACAUGGGUCUUCAACGACAAGUCCCAGAGUGUUGGAAGCUUGAAACUCGGCGCCUUACUUCUCUCUGUGAGAAAUCAGUGAUUUUGAAAAGGAGGAGCUUUGCGCAUCGAAGAGCCAUCUUCAAAGGUCGGCAUGUUGUGGGUGAGGUCAAACCCACUUUUUCCUUAUACCCAAUUGACUGGAAUUGUUGAAUCUUGACCUUUCUUGUUUUGAACAUGUUGAUUAAACCUUUGUCUUGUUUCAUAAAUUGGUGGUCUGGAACGCCACCACCCAUUUUUCAUUUCUUUGUUUUUUUUUGUUGUUGCUUAGUGCCUUUGUGCAAUUUUGACUAGAAGACCAAAGCCAAGCUUUUCCUUUGAAUAUGUUGAUUAAGCUUUUGUCUUGUGCAUGAAUUGAUGGUCUGCAAUGCCCCUUUGUCAUCUUCUGCAAUUGUGUUGGACAUGUUGUUAAUUAAGCUCUUUUGUCUUAUGCAUAGCUUAAUUAAUAUAAUCCCUUAGUCUGCAACACCAUCAUAACAUUCAUUCCUCUUCUUCUUUCUUUAUAUAUAUAUUGCUUUGUGCUUCUGUCAAUCUCUGGAAUGGUUUUGAUGAUGUUAGCCCAUUUAGAUCAAGGUUUCAUGCUAGACACGAAGAUGCCACCGCUAAGACUUUUCUUCUUUUAGUUUUUUUUUGGUUGGCACCACUUUGAAGCUUCUUGGACCCGUAUAGGGCGAGGACAGUAGCUGCAGUUAAGAUCCCAGAGUAUCAAUUUGAGGGAUAGUUUGAUGUGCAGGUGUAAACGAAAGCGGUAAUUAUCAGAGCCUCAGAGGCCUCACGAAGCUUCUUUCUUUGGUGGCCCGAGACGAGAACGAAUACUAUAGUUUAGCCAAGCUUCAGAAUUCCAAGAUUUAAACUCAAGGGUGAGACUUUUUUAAACUUCCCACUGGUUUGUUUAGAAUAGGUGUUUCGGAACGGAGGUUGGGACUGGCUCUUUUUUUGGCUAUGGAGUUUUGAAAAGAUGCAGAUAGGAAUUAUAUGUGGUGUUUAAAUGGAAUUGACAGAGUUCCUGUUAUCUUUUUUUAUAUUGAACCAUCACAACCCUAUGGUAAUUCACAAAGGGGCCUCUGUCAGUUUGGUGUUUUAAACAGCCAAACCUUGAGGAUAAUAUCGGCACCCUAAGGCACGCCGUGUCAAAGUUCUUUGAAAGUAGUUUCGGCACCCUAAGGCACGCCGAAUGGAGCUCUGAAACAGUAUUGGCACCGUAAGGCACCGCCACCGGAGCUUUGAAAGUGGUAAAACCAUAAAGAGAUGGAUUCUCCACCUUUUUCCUAUGGAACACGCUGCAGCUUCCUCUGUCUCCUUUGCUUUCCUUCUCCUUCUGCCUCUUUUUCUUCUCCUUCUGCCUUUUUUCUUUUUCUCUUGUACGGCCUUCUUGGCCUCUUAUAUAGUGUACUGAUGGUAUGGUUGAGUUUUAGAAAGACUCUUGUACUUGACAUGACAUGAAACACCAAGAGAUAACUAUGAUCCCUAUCAGGGAAUUACCGUGCAUCAGUUGCAAUCAAACUCUAAUACUUAGUAAGCUCAUGUGUAAUUAUGGGCAAUUGACCUUCACGCAUUUUCCGUCCUUUUUUCAUUAUCUAUCUUUUUUUGUUUCAACAAAGGGUAAGGUUACUUUUAAUAGUACAUGGAUAAUUGAUACAUGUGCAUCUGACCAUAUGACCAAUGACCCAAGUCUCGUGAAAAACCUUAGACAUUCCCCUCAAAACGUUGUCUCUAUUGCUGAUGGUACUCAAACUCCGGUCACCAGAGAACGUUCCAUUGCUUUAUCUGAUACCCUUGAAUCUGUCUUAGUUGUUCCAUCACUAGCUUAUAAUCUUCUGUCUGUUGGUCAAAUUAUUUUAGCUCUUGCGUGUAUUGUGACCUUUUAUCCGUCUUUCUGUGU
This is a long non-coding RNA of Rosa chinensis, 2081 nucleotides long. RefSeq lists it as uncharacterized. The record is from RefSeq and is a predicted model, not a curated record. The transcript has 5 exons. Lineage: Eukaryota; Viridiplantae; Streptophyta; Magnoliopsida; Rosales; Rosaceae.